CCCUUAGAUGUUCUGGGCCGCACGCGCGCUACACUGACGAAUGCAACGAGCUUAUAACCUUGGCCGAAAGGUCUGGGUAAUCUCCAAAUUUCGUCGUGAUGGGGAUAGAUUAUUGCAAUUAUUAAUCUUCAACGAGGAAUGCCUAGUAAGCGCAAGUCAUCAGCUUGCGUUGAUUACGUCCCUGCCCUUUGUACACACCGCCCGUCGCUCCUACCGAUUGAAUGGUCCGGUGAAAUCUCGGGACGGCGGCUUGGUCGCUUGCGUCCGACUGCUGAAACUUGAUUAAACCAUAUCAUUCAGAGGAAGGUGAAGUCGUAACA
Molecule: ribosomal RNA, 320 nt
Filed under: uncultured eukaryote
Lineage: Eukaryota
Description: partial 18S ribosomal RNA
Rfam family: Eukaryotic small subunit ribosomal RNA
Source: RNAcentral